AUAAGUGCAUCAGGCGGAUGCCUUGGCGAUGAUAGGCGACGAAGGACGUGUAAGCCUGCGAAAAGCGCGGGGGAGCUGGCAAUAAAGCUAUGAUUCCGCGAUGUCCGAAUGGGGAAACCCACUGCAUUCUGUGCAGUAUCCUAAGUUGAAUACAUAGGCUUAGAGAAGCGAACCCGGAGAACUGAACCAUCUAAGUACCCGGAGGAAAAGAAAUCAACCGAGAUUCCGCAAGUAGUGGCGAGCGAACGCGGAGGAGCCUGUACGUAAUAACUGUCGAGAUAGAAGAACAAGCUGGGAAGCUUGACCAUAGCGGGUGACAGUCCCGUAUUCGAAAUCUCAACAGCGGUACUAAGCGUACGAAAAGUAGGGCGGGACACGUGAAAUCCUGUCUGAAUAUGGGGGGACCAUCCUCCAAGGCUAAAUACUCAUCAUCGACCGAUAGUGAACCAGUACCGUGAGGGAAAGGCGAAAAGAACCCCGGGAGGGGAGUGAAACAGAACCUGAAACCUGAUGCAUACAAACAGUGGGAGCGCCCUAGUGGUGUGACUGCGUACCUUUUGUAUAAUGGGUCAACGACUUACAUUCAGUAGCGAGCUUAACCGGAUAGGGGAGGCGUAGGGAAACCGAGUCUUAAUAGGGUGAUGAGUUGCUGGGUGUAGACCCGAAACCGAGUGAUCUAUCCAUGGCCAGGUUGAAGGUGCCGUAACAGGUACUGGAGGACCGAACCCACGCAUGUUGCAAAAUGCGGGGAUGAGCUGUGGGUAGGGGUGAAAGGCUAAACAAACUCGGAGAUAGCUGGUUCUCCCCGAAAACUAUUUAGGUAGUGCCUCGAGCAAGACACUGAUGGGGGUAAAGCACUGUUAUGGCUAGGGGGUUAUUGCAACUUACCAACCCAUGGCAAACUCAGAAUACCAUCAAGUGGUUCCUCGGGAGACAGACAGCGGGUGCUAACGUCCGUUGUCAAGAGGGAAACAACCCAGACCGCCGGCUAAGGUCCCAAAUGAUAGAUUAAGUGGUAAACGAAGUGGGAAGGCACAGACAGCCAGGAUGUUGGCUUAGAAGCAGCCAUCAUUUAAAGAAAGCGUAAUAGCUCACUGGUCGAGUCGUCCUGCGCGGAAGAUGUAACGGGGCUCAAAUCUAUAACCGAAGCUGCGGAUGCCGGUUUACCGGCAUGGUAGGGGAGCGUUCUGUAGGCUGAUGAAGGUGCAUUGUAAAGUGUGCUGGAGGUAUCAGAAGUGCGAAUGUUGACAUGAGUAGCGAUAAAGCGGGUGAAAAGCCCGCUCGCCGAAAGCCCAAGGUUUCCUACGCAACGUUCAUCGGCGUAGGGUAAGUCGGCCCCUAAGGCGAGGCAGAAAUGCGUAGUCGAUGGGAAACAGGUUAAUAUUCCUGUACUUGAUUCAAAUGCGAUGUGGGGACGGAGAAGGUUAGGUUGGCAAGCUGUUGGAAUAGCUUGUUUAAGCCGGUAGGUGGAAGACUUAGGCAAAUCCGGGUUUUCUUAACACCGAGAAGUGAUGACGAGUGUCUACGGACACGAAGCAACCGAUACCACGCUUCCAGGAAAAGCCACUAAGCUUCAGUUUGAAUCGAACCGUACCGCAAACCGACACAGGUGGGCAGGAUGAGAAUUCUAAGGCGCUUGAGAGAACUCGGGAGAAGGAACUCGGCAAAUUGAUACCGUAACUUCGGGAGAAGGUAUGCCCUCUAAGGUUAAGGACUUGCUCCGUAAGCCCCGGAGGGUCGCAGAGAAUAGGUGGCUGCGACUGUUUAUUAAAAACACAGCACUCUGCCAACACGAAAGUGGACGUAUAGGGUGUGACGCCUGCCCGGUGCCGGAAGGUUAAUUGAAGAUGUGCAAGCAUCGGAUCGAAGCCCCGGUAAACGGCGGCCGUAACUAUAACGGUCCUAAGGUAGCGAAAUUCCUUGUCGGGUAAGUUCCGACCCGCACGAAUGGCGUAACGAUGGCCACACUGUCUCCUCCCGAGACUCAGCGAAGUUGAAGUGGUUGUGAAGAUGCAAUCUACCCGCUGCUAGACGGAAAGACCCCGUGAACCUUUACUGUAGCUUUGCAUUGGACUUUGAAGUCACUUGUGUAGGAUAGGUGGGAGGCUUGGAAGCAGAGACGCCAGUCUCUGUGGAGUCGUCCUUGAAAUACCACCCUGGUGUCUUUGAGGUUCUAACCCAGACCCGUCAUCCGGGUCGGGGACCGUGCAUGGUAGGCAGUUUGACUGGGGCGGUCUCCUCCCAAAGCGUAACGGAGGAGUUCGAAGGUUACCUAGGUCCGGUCGGAAAUCGGACUGAUAGUGCAAUGGCAAAAGGUAGCUUAACUGCGAGACCGACAAGUCGGGCAGGUGCGAAAGCAGGACAUAGUGAUCCGGUGGUUCUGUAUGGAAGGGCCAUCGCUCAACGGAUAAAAGGUACUCCGGGGAUAACAGGCUGAUUCCGCCCAAGAGUUCAUAUCGACGGCGGAGUUUGGCACCUCGAUGUCGGCUCAUCACAUCCUGGGGCUGUAGUCGGUCCCAAGGGUAUGGCUGUUCGCCAUUUAAAGUGGUACGUGAGCUGGGUUUAAAACGUCGUGAGACAGUUUGGUCCCUAUCUGCAGUGGGCGUUGGAAGUUUGACGGGGGCUGCUCCUAGUACGAGAGGACCGGAGUGGACGAACCUCUGGUGUACCGGUUGUAACGCCAGUUGCAUAGCCGGGUAGCUAAGUUCGGAAGAGAUAAGCGCUGAAAGCAUCUAAGCGCGAAACUCGCCUGAAGAUGAGACUUCCCUUGCGGUUUAACCGCACUAAAGGGUCGUUCGAGACCAGGACGUUGAUAGGUGGGGUGUGGAAGCGCGGUAACGCGUGAAGCUAACCCAUACUAAUUGCCCGUGAGGCUUGACU
Molecule: ribosomal RNA, 2880 nt
Filed under: Neisseria gonorrhoeae
Lineage: Bacteria; Pseudomonadati; Pseudomonadota; Betaproteobacteria; Neisseriales; Neisseriaceae
Description: bacterial LSU rRNA
Rfam family: Bacterial large subunit ribosomal RNA
Source: RNAcentral